RNAcentral lists this ribosomal RNA (253 nucleotides) under uncultured bacterium. Its description in RNAcentral is "partial 16S ribosomal RNA". It matches the Rfam family "Bacterial small subunit ribosomal RNA", at positions 524 to 776 of the family's 1533-position model. The record is from RNAcentral.
UACGUAGGGGGCUAGCGUUGUCCGGAAUCAUUGGGCGUAAAGCGCGUGUAGGCGGCUUGGCAAGUCCGCUGUGAAAACUCGAGGCUCAACCUCGAGAUGUCGGUGGAAACUGCCUGGCUAGAGUCCGGAAGAGGAGUGUGGAAUUCCUGGUGUAGCGGUGAAAUGCGCAGAUAUCAGGAAGAACACCUAUGGCGAAGGCAGCACUCUGGGACGGUACUGACGCUGAGACGCGAAAGCGUGGGGAGCGAACAGG